RNAcentral lists this ribosomal RNA (421 nucleotides) under uncultured bacterium. RNAcentral's name for it is "bacterial SSU rRNA". It matches the Rfam family "Bacterial small subunit ribosomal RNA", at positions 8 to 459 of the family's 1533-position model. The record is from RNAcentral.
AGAGUUUGAUCCUGGCUCAGAACGAACGCUGGCGGCAGGCUUAACACAUGCAAGUCGAACGCAUCUUCGGAUGAGUGGCAGACGGGUGAGUAACGCGUGGGAACCUACCUAGUAGUACGGAAUAACUCAGGGAAACUUGUGCUAAUACCGUAUACGCCCUUCGGGGGAAAGAUUUAUCGCUAUUAGAUGGGCCCGCGUUGGAUUAGCUUGUUGGUGAGGUAACGGCUCACCAAGGCUACGAUCCAUAGCUGGUCUGAGAGGAUGAUCAGCCACACUGGGACUGAGACACGGCCCAGACUCCUACGGGAGGCAGCAGUGGGGAAUAUUGGACAAUGGGCGAAAGCCUGAUCCAGCCAUGCCGCGUGAGUGAAGAAGGCCCUAGGGUUGUAAAGCUCUUUCGCUAGGGAAAGAUAAUGACGGG